This 295-nucleotide ribosomal RNA is filed under the name uncultured soil bacterium. RNAcentral's name for it is "partial 16S ribosomal RNA". It matches the Rfam family "Bacterial small subunit ribosomal RNA", at positions 26 to 321 of the family's 1533-position model. The record is from RNAcentral.
AGAGUGAACGCUGGCGGCAGGCCUAACACAUGCAAGUCGAACGGCAGCACAGGAGAGCUUGCUCUCUGGGUGGCGAGUGGCGGACGGGUGAGGAAUACGUCGGAAUCUGCCUAUUUGUGGGGGAUAACGUAGGGAAACUUACGCUAAUACCGCAUACGACCUACGGGUGAAAGCGGAGGACCUUCGGGCUUCGCGCAGAUAGAUGAGCCGACGUCGGAUUAGCUAGUGGCGGGUAAAGCCCACAAGGCGACGAUCCGUAGCUGGUCUGAGAGGAUGAUCAGCCACACUGGAACUG